CUAAUACCCGUUGAUCCUGCGGGAGAUUGCUGCUAUGGGAGUUCGACUAAGCCAUGCAAGUCAGAGGGAUCUUCGGAUCACAGGCUGAAUGCUCAGUAACACGUCAAUAAUCUGCCCUUAGGUCUGGGAUAGCCAUGGGAAACUGUGGGUAAAACCGGAUAGAGAAUCGAUACUGGAAUGUUCUUUUCUUGAAAAGCAAUGCCUAAGGAUGAGUUGGCGGCCGAUUAGCUUGAUGGUAGGGUAAAGGCCUACCAUGGCUACGAUCGGUAGGGGCCGUGAGAGCGGGAGCCCCGAGAAGGGUACUGAGACACUGACCCUAGCCCUACGGGGUGCAGCAGGCGCGAAACCUUUACACUGUACGGAAGUGCGAUAAGGGAACUCCCAGUGCUCAUGCAUUGCAUGGGCUUUUGCCAAGUGU
RNAcentral lists this ribosomal RNA (418 nucleotides) under Candidatus Woesearchaeota archaeon. Its description in RNAcentral is "bacterial SSU rRNA". It matches the Rfam family "Archaeal small subunit ribosomal RNA", at positions 1 to 420 of the family's 1478-position model. The record is from RNAcentral. Lineage: Archaea; Nanobdellati; Candidatus Woesearchaeota.